RNAcentral lists this ribosomal RNA (2133 nucleotides) under Listeria monocytogenes. Its description in RNAcentral is "bacterial LSU rRNA". It matches the Rfam family "Bacterial large subunit ribosomal RNA", at positions 3 to 2128 of the family's 2925-position model. The record is from RNAcentral. Lineage: Bacteria; Bacillati; Bacillota; Bacilli; Caryophanales; Listeriaceae.
UUAAGUUAGAAAGGGCGCACGGUGGAUGCCUUGGCACUAGGAGCCGAAGAAGGACGGGACUAACACCGAUAUGCUUUGGGGAGCUGUACGUAAGCGUUGAUCCAGAGAUUUCCGAAUGGGGGAACCCACUAUCUUUAGUCGGAUAGUAUCCUUACGUGAAUACAUAGCGUGAGGAAGGCAGACCCAGGGAACUGAAACAUCUAAGUACCUGGAGGAAGAGAAAGAAAAAUCGAUUUCCUGAGUAGCGGCGAGCGAAACGGAAAGAGCCCAAACCAAGAAGCUUGCUUCUUGGGGUUGUAGGACACUCUAUACGGAGUUACAAAAGAAAGUUAUAAAUGAAGCGGUCUGGAAAGGCCCGCCAAAGACGGUAACAGCCCGGUAGUUGAAAUAGCUUUCCCUCCAGAGUGGAUCCUGAGUACGGCGGAACACGUGAAAUUCCGUCGGAAUCCGGGAGGACCAUCUCCCAAGGCUAAAUACUCCCUAGUGACCGAUAGUGAACCAGUACCGUGAGGGAAAGGUGAAAAGCACCCCGGAAGGGGAGUGAAACAGUUCCUGAAACCGUGUGCCUACAAGUAGUUAGAGCCCGUUAAUGGGUGAUAGCGUGCCUUUUGUAGAAUGAACCGGCGAGUUACGAUUUGUUGCAAGGUUAAGCGGAAAAAGCGGAGCCGUAGCGAAAGCGAGUCUGAAUAGGGCGCAUAAGUAACAGGUCGUAGACCCGAAACCAGGUGAUCUACCCAUGUCCAGGAUGAAGGUAAGGUAAUACUUACUGGAGGUCCGAACCCACGCACGUUGAAAAGUGCGGGGAUGAGGUGUGGGUAGCGGAGAAAUUCCAAUCGAACUUGGAGAUAGCUGGUUCUCUCCGAAAUAGCUUUAGGGCUAGCCUCGAGGUAAAGAGUCAUGGAGGUAGAGCACUGUUUGGACUAGGGGCCCUUCUCGGGUUACCGAAUUCAGAUAAACUCCGAAUGCCAUGUACUUAUACUCGGGAGUCAGACUGCGAGUGAUAAGAUCCGUAGUCGAAAGGGAAACAGCCCAGACCACCAGUUAAGGUCCCCAAAUAUAUGUUAAGUGGAAAAGGAUGUGGGGUUGCUUAGACAACCAGGAUGUUGGCUUAGAAGCAGCCACCAUUGAAAGAGUGCGUAAUAGCUCACUGGUCGAGUGACCCCGCGCCGAAAAUGUACCGGGGCUAAACAUAUUACCGAAACUGUGGAUGAACCUCUUUAGAGGUUCGUGGUAGGAGAGCGUUCUAAGGGCGGUGAAGUCAGACCGGAAGGACUGGUGGAGCGCUUAGAAGUGAGAAUGCCGGUAUGAGUAGCGAAAGAAGGGUGAGAAUCCCUUCCACCGAAUAUCUAAGGUUUCCUGAGGAAGGCUCGUCCGCUCAGGGUUAGUCGGGACCUAAGCCGAGGCCGAUAGGCGUAGGCGAUGGACAACAGGUAGAGAUUCCUGUACCAGUGCUAAUUGUUUAACCGAUGGGGUGACACAGAAGGAUAGGGAAUCGCACGAAUGGAAAUGUGCGUCCAAGCAGUGAGUGUGAGAAGUAGGCAAAUCCGCUUCUCGCGAAGCAUGAGCUGUGAUGGGGAAGGAAAUUAAGUACGGAAGUUCCUGAUUUCACGCUGUCAAGAAAAGCCUCUAGGAAGAGUAGUACUGCCCGUACCGCAAACCGACACAGGUAGAUGAGGAGAGAAUCCUAAGGUGAGCGAGAGAACUCUCGUUAAGGAACUCGGCAAAAUGACCCCGUAACUUCGGGAGAAGGGGUGCUCUAUUAGGGUGCAAGCCCGAGAGAGCCGCAGUGAAUAGGCCCAGGCGACUGUUUAGCAAAAACACAGGUCUCUGCAAAACCGUAAGGUGACGUAUAGGGGCUGACGCCUGCCCGGUGCUGGAAGGUUAAGAGGAGUGCUUAGCUUCGGCGAAGGUACGAAUUGAAGCCCCAGUAAACGGCGGCCGUAACUAUAACGGUCCUAAGGUAGCGAAAUUCCUUGUCGGGUAAGUUCCGACCCGCACGAAAGGCGCAACGAUCUGGGCACUGUCUCAACGAGAGACUCGGUGAAAUUAUAGUACCUGUGAAGAUGCAGGUUACCCGCGACAGGACGGAAAGACCCCGUGGAGCUUUACUGCAACCUGAUAUGGAAUGUUUGU